UACAUGUGGGGCAAGCGUUGUUCGGAAUUACUGGGCAUAAAGGGUGCGUAGGUGGUUUGUUAAGUCAGGGGUGAAAACCCGCGGCUUAACCGUGGGCUUGCAGCCGAUACGGGCAGGCUAGAGUUCGGUAGGGGAGACUGGAAUUCCUGGUGUAGCGGUGAAAUGCGCAGAUAUCAGGAGGAACACCGGUGGCGAAGGCGGGUCUCUGGGCCGAUACUGACGCUGAGGAGCGAAAGCGUGGGGAGCGAACAGG
This 253-nucleotide ribosomal RNA is filed under the name uncultured bacterium. RNAcentral describes it as "partial 16S ribosomal RNA". It matches the Rfam family "Bacterial small subunit ribosomal RNA", at positions 524 to 776 of the family's 1533-position model. The record is from RNAcentral.